CCCAAACUCCAUGGAAGAAUGGGAUUCCGCGAUUUUCGUUCCUUUAAUAGAGCUUUGUUAGCUCGUCAAGGUUAGUGGUUGAUUCGAUAUCCCAACUUCUUUUGUGCUCAAAUUUUCAAAGGUCGAUGUUAUCCUACUACAGAUUUUUGGAAUGCCAGGAAAGGUCCUCGGGUGUCGUGGGUGUGGUCCAGCAUUUUGGAGGGCCGUGAGGUGUUAAACAGGGGGUCCGAUGGCAAGUUUAUAAUGGAAAGUCCAUUAACUUUUGGGAUGAUAAAUGGGUAGCUUCCUCUCCAGAUUUUCGUGUUCAAUCUCGGAACCCACAGGGUGUCAAUUAACUUCUGUUAGUGAUGCUAUUAACCCCAAUAACAAUUGUUGGAGAAGAGAUGUGCUGCAAAAUGUGAUCUCUAAAGAGGAGGCUGGUGCUAUUUGCACUUUUCCCUUUGCGACUGAAAAUCAAGAAGAUCGGCUCAUUUGGCAUCAUGAUCCGAAAGGCAUCUAUUCUGUUAAAUCUCGGUACCGAGUGGCAGUCCAAUAUCAGUAGCAUCAUUCCGAGAACAGACUAUCUUCUUCCUUUCAGAUGCCUGACUAUGUCUGGAAAUUCUUAUGGGCCCUCCCAAUUCCUCCUAAGCUUCGACACUUUUGGUGGCGGGCUUGUAACAAUUUGUUGGCAUCCAAAGCUAAUAUUUUCUGGCGUAAGUGUGCCCAAGAUGAUUUAUGUCCCAUUUGCCAUUUGGAAUCUGAAACGGCAGAACAAGUGCUUUGUGGUUGUGAUUGGACACGGCCAGUGUGGUUCUGGAGCAAUUGAACAUCACUCACAGAUCUGGUUUCAUCCCCUACAAGAAAAAUUCAUUGUUACGGCGCUUAGAAAAAGAUGUUUUUUGAAAAACGUCUUCAUUUCUCGUUUUCCAAGACGCGUGCCUUCGCUGAUGCUUAACCUUGCCAAUUAAUUAAUGAGUUAAAAAAAGAAAAAGAAACAAACCUCUGCCACUCAAACCUAAUAGAAUAUAACUUUUAUUUCCAAACAUCAGAGUCACAGAUUCAUUACCCUCUCCCCUCUCUUUCUCCUUCUCCAACAUUAUUCUCUCUCUAAAAUGGCAUGAAUGAAGCUCUCUUUGUAGAUAUUGAUGAAGCAACUGAUGAUGAAGAUUUCAAGGUGGUUCCCAAAUCUCAUCUAACUUCUUACCUUAUUCCCAAUCUUGGAAGUGAGAGAGAAUGAAGUAGUAUCCUACCAGAGAGAUUUGAAGAGCCUCAGAAAGAUGAAGUUUCUCUGUGCCCUAACCUUGGCCGUUGGAAAACUAGUCGUCAACUACGUUGAGCAGAACCACAAGGACAAAAUGAAGAUCUUUAUGGCAAAGUAUUACUGUGUGAGAUUGCAUGCUUUAUUCGGUGCUGCUUUGGCAGCUGGACUGGUAGCAGCCAGAACCAUCGCUGGAAAAUAUGUUGACAUGAUGGUUUUUCUCUGAUUUUCCACUCCAUAGAUUUCAAAAUCUGCCUGGUGAGCAUACAUUUUUGAAUUCUUGCUAUUAUGAGUAUUCUGUGAAAGCAAUUUUGGCUAUACAUCAAACACACAUGUGCACAAUUGACAGUACACUAAAAGUGAAUUUUUCAGCAGUGUGCAUACCACCUUAGCUAGGUUGUUACUUUUUUGUGUUAAUAACUAACAAUUAAUCAUGGUGCUUAAAAUUAAUAAAAAGAGAGAGGACAUAGUGAUCAUUCAAGCACACAUUGGUCCUUCUGCAUUGCAUUUAAUAUCAAAGGCUUAUUCAAGAACCUAAUUAAAGUUUUCAUUCUGUUUUUAAAAUUCUUGUCCCUCUGUUCCCAACAGAGUCUUAGGCACACACGUGAUAUGAAUUUUUUUUUAAAAUAUGAGGAUCUUAAUGUUACAUGCUGUUUUUUCAAUUGUGAUGUCUAAUAUGUUAUAGUAAGGUCUUAAAUUUGAAGGAGUGGGUAUUUUAAGAUUAUGGGUGUUGACCUGUAGGUAAUAUAUCCUUAAAUAUUUGCCACACUAGCAUGAGCUUUGCUUUGACAAAUAUGAUGAUGAUUUGACUCAGAAAUUGUUUGAAUUUUAUUUUGUGUCAACAUUAAUUAGAGAAUUGUGUCAAGAUGCGAAGCUACUUCCUUGCAACGUCAAUUUCAAGCUAUGAAGUUACUGCCUUCCAAUGCUAAUGAUUUCAUUGUUAUUAAUCAUUGAUUAUGUCUAUCAAGAAAAAAACUUUAACCAUGAGAAUCUCUUGGUUGAGAAUUUUUAUUUUUAAAAUUUUUCUUUGUGUUAUUAUAUUGCACUGCUCAAAUGCAUUAAUCUUGUGAUGAUUUGAUUAUGAAUCAAGAAAUAUAUGAUGCCCAUUGAGUCCAUACCUUUCCAUGAAAUCAUCUACUUUAAGAACGUCGACAAACUUCAAGCAGUAAGUAUUUUUGUAAUACUGAAACUAAGAAAUAGAAAUCAAAUGGAAAAUGUUCACUGACUACUUAUUGUUGUUAAGAUAGUGCAAAAUUUUGGUAACUACACAAGUCAUUUAAGAAGCUACAUAUGAGUUGAUAGGUUCUAUUGAUUUCUAUAUUAUAUUUUGAUAUAAUGUGUAAGUAGUUUUAUUGUAACGGUGAUGGUGUCUUGUCUUCCUCUCCAUAUCUUUUUGUCCUUUGGGUUAAUUUUUAUUUCUUUAUUUAUUUUUUAACGGGAAAAAUUUCAUUGAUAGUUUUAUUGUAAGCAAGGGGAACUAAAGUUUGUUGGAAGCCUUCAACCUGCUUCCCAGUGCUGUAAAGAGUACAUGAUUGGUCUUGCAUGUGUUGUAUAGCAUGCAGUUGAUCUCUCCUCCCCCCCCCCUCCAUCUUUUUAUGCUAGACAAAUUCAUCCAUGCAAUUUAAAUAUCUUGAUUUUUUUUUUUUUGAAAAUUUUAUCUUAAGAACUAUUGAUGAGCUGUUACUAAACCUAAAAUUGAUUGGACUUCACAAUUUGGUAGGGUUGCUGAUUUCGUGGUGGCAAAUUCCGAUCCUUUCAUACCUAUGUAAGGAAGUUGUCAACAACCCUUUUCUUGGAGUUUAGUACAACAUUGUAAUUUAACGUUUUUCUCUUUCUCGCAGAAGUCGAAAGACUCGUAGGUCUUGUCAUUUCUGGAAGUGGCUAAGUGGGCUUAUCUGUUUGUCAAUCUUCAAUUGCUCAUGAAAUUUCUGAACUUAUUAAGAGACCUAAGCUUGAGGCAGGUAUUUGUUAUGACCCAGAAGAUUUUUGGCUGGAUUUAGAAAGGUUUUACACUUGAGCAUCUUGGUUAUCUGCAUUCCAUUUUCUGAAUCUGAUCUGCGCAAGGCCUCUGAAUCAUUGAAAAGAGUUGCAGCAGCGGUUUUGGCGGCUCAUGACUGAAUUGAAGAGUGCACAUCAGAUUUCAUUUUAUUUUUCCAAUGAUAUUUUAGACAUUUCUUUGAUUGCGUCAACAGAAAAACUCGGGAAUUUUUGUUUCUUGGUAGAUGCUUUCAUAGUAUUUGUAUGCAUAAUUAGUUUGAAUUGCAUCUUUUGUGCCGAUUUGUUUUGUAUUAACUUUCAACUUACCACUAGGCACUAGUUUAACUU
Molecule: non-coding RNA, 3562 nt
Organism: Camellia sinensis
Lineage: Eukaryota; Viridiplantae; Streptophyta; Magnoliopsida; Ericales; Theaceae
Source: RefSeq, a predicted model, not a curated record